Molecule: ribosomal RNA, 492 nt
Filed under: uncultured bacterium
Lineage: Bacteria
Description: partial 16S ribosomal RNA
Rfam family: Bacterial small subunit ribosomal RNA
Source: RNAcentral
AGUGAACGCUGGCGGUAGGCCUAACACAUGCAAGUCGAACGGCAGCACAGUAAGAGCUUGCUCUUACGGGUGGCGAGUGGCGGACGGGUGAGGAAUACAUCGGAAUCUACUUUUUCGUGGGGGAUAACGUAGGGAAACUUACGCUAAUACCGCAUACGACCUACGGGUGAAAGCAGGGGAUCUUCGGACCUUGCGCGAUUGAAUGAGCCGAUGUCGGAUUAGCUAGUUGGCGGGGUAAAGGCCCACCAAGGCGACGAUCCGUAGCUGGUCUGAGAGGAUGAUCAGCCACACUGGAACUGAGACACGGUCCAGACUCCUACGGGAGGCAGCAGUUGGGAAUAUUGGACAAUGGGCGCAAGCCUGAUCCAGCCAUACCGCGUGGGUGAAGGAGGCCUUCGGGUUGUAAAGCCCUUUUGUUGGGAAAGAAAAGCAGCAGGUUAAUACCCCGCUGUUCUGACGGUACCCAAAGAAUAAGCACCGGCUAACUUCGUG